CCGAGUUUACAACUCCCAAACCCCCUGUGAACUUAUACCUUAUACUGUUGCUUCGGCGGGUUCUCGCCCCGGGACAGGUUCUCUCUUGAGCCAGCCCGGAACCAGGCGCCCGCCGGGGGACCCCUAAACUCCUGUAUUUUUUUACUUUUACAUGUCUGAGUGGAAUCAUAUAAAAUGAAUCA
This 182-nucleotide unclassified non-coding RNA is filed under the name uncultured Cordyceps. RNAcentral's name for it is "sequence contains ITS1". The record is from RNAcentral. Lineage: Eukaryota; Fungi; Ascomycota; Sordariomycetes; Hypocreales; Cordycipitaceae.